This 2600-nucleotide long non-coding RNA is filed under the name Capsicum annuum. RNAcentral's name for it is "long non-coding RNA (CANN_LNC012114)". Lineage: Eukaryota; Viridiplantae; Streptophyta; Magnoliopsida; Solanales; Solanaceae. The record is from RNAcentral.
UAAUGGGAUGUGACAUUGAGCAUCACAAUGUGGUUGUAAAAAUAGUGACUUAAGAUUAAUGAUGUAUGUUUUGUAAGAAUUAUGUAUAAGGUUGGGUUGUAAAUCAUGUUUAACACUAGACAUUAAGUUUGAACAAUUGAUGUCCAUNNNNNNNNNNNNNNNNNNNNNAACCGUAUACAAUUCAUUCAUUUUAUUUUUACAAUUAUCAUUCGCCAUUACCUCCUCCUCCCGAACCUCCAACCACCUAACAAUAAUCAAUACUCUACCGUACUAUGACUAUUAGGCUGCCCUCAGUACAUAUCAACUGUAAUCAUAUCAAAUAUCGGGAUCAUCCCAUGUUAGGCUUAAGCCCCUGAGCUACCACCCACACGUAUAUCAAGUAACACACAUAAGAGAUCUUUCCAAUAACUUAGUUCAAAAGCUUUUGAGAUUAUUACAUUAGUGUUCAUGCCAAUAGAGUACCGUUGGAAUAAUGAUACAUCAAUAGGAACCAAGUAAUAGACUUUCUAUACAAUAACGAUGUAAUAAAGACUCAUUGGUACAUCAACAAUGUGUUUCGGAAUCAUCAAUAUCACAACAAUGAAAUAGGAGCCUUUCGGUAUAUCAAUGAAACAUUUUGACACUUUAUAGAAUGGAAACAACUUCGUUGGUAAUGUAGAACAAUACAUGUUUUUGGACAACCUCGGAAUCUUACUUGAUGGAACAUUGGUGUUUUCAUGCCAAAGAACAUCGUUAGAGUAUGCUUUACAUACCUCGUUGUAGAUUCGGAUACCAAUUCAACACAACUUCCCGCCUUUACAAAUCACUUAUCUACAAUGAAAUGUUUGGCAUCUAGUAUUAGCAACCCAACACCACAAUUCUCUUCCAUAAUUCCAUACUACCAAUAUUUGCAAAACAUUCCAAAAACCAACUUGAACAAUAGGUUUAUGUGUGUAUAUAUAUAUAAUCAUCAUUUCAAUACCACAUCAUCAAUACCACAUCAUCACCCCAAAUUCCUUCACAAUUUAACAUAAUCCAACCAUGCACAAGAAUAAUCCAACAUCAUUUCCAAUCAUCUUUCAACAACAAUCAAAUAACAUACUUCUUAUGCUCACAUGCAUAUAUAUAUACAUAUCCAUAUAAAUAACACCAACAUAAUUUACAUCCUUACCAAAAAAAUGGCCCUUUUGAUUUCGAAGUCCUGUUGGCACAAAUAAGGGGUGCUUCUCGAAGCCCUUGAGACGGUGAACACAACUACGGAAUCAAUUUGGAUUUUCUACGGUUGAAUCACAAGAUAAUUGGAGUUGAACUUAGGCUAGGGUUUCUUAUUCUUCAAUGAUUUGGAUGAUAAAUGGUGGAUAUAAGGCUAAGUAUAUGUAUAUAAUGACCAAUUUUCGUCCAUGAGGUGAUGGAAAAUGACCAUAUUGCCCUUAAAAAUUUAAGUAAAUCCGAAUCUGUCCAUUUCAUUUUUUACAAGGAGUUAUGAUUAUUUAAAGUCGACCCAAAAAUCUGUUUGGCUGCAGUACUUUUGUGUGCAGAAAAUUUCUGCACAUUUACUGUUCAUUGCGUCCACCGUUUUUAAGUUUCGAACAUGCUCGCUUAUAUCCGAUACUCAUCUGUUUUCAGAAAUCUUUAUAUCGUUGGAAAGCUAACUCGAUAAACUUCGCAUAGAAACUUCGACGAGCAAAUUCCGGUAUAAACAAAGUCGAUUCCUAUACACAUAUAAUCAAACUAUACACUUGAAACCAUCUCAAAAUAAUCAAUACUCAUACUUAAACUCAUAUAUACCUAACUUAUGAUCAAUACAUAUACUCCAACACAUAUAACCAUGGCUAAUGCACGUAAUUAAGUACGGGGUGUUACAAGUAGUAAUGUCAUAAAGGUGCUUUGGUUGUGGAUAGUAUCUAGAUAAAAUCAGAUAUUUGGGGUAGAAUGUCCCAAUUUAAUGGACUAGUAAAUUAUGUUGUAUUCUUCAUGGGUGGUAUUUCCUGAAUAAAACAAGUAUGAGAUGAUGCUUAUGAUGCCUUACAACAUGUAUUAUAGUACCUAAAAGUCCCUAAGUCAAUAAGGUACAACAAUGCAAGCUAUACAAUUAUCAACUACAAGCUGAAAAUUUGAAAAUCCUGCCCAUGCACACUGAAAUUUCUGCACAUGCAUGCCAACCUUUGUGGACCUUUUAAAGCUGGAAAAUCUACACUUUCAUACCAGCCCGUGUGAACUUCCUAAAGUCUAAUAAAUGUGCUCCCAACCUAUUUUGACCAUCUAGAAGGUGCUGGAACGUUGGCAGCAAUGCAGGUCAUUUAUCGAAGCCCCGCCAAGCUCGAAAAUGCGUCCGAAUAGUCUGAAACAUGCCCAAAACAUGAGGAGUUUAAUGGGUUGUGAAGUUGAGCAUCACAAUGUGGUUGUAAAAAUAGUGACUUAAGAUUAAUGAUAUAUGUUUUGUAAGCAUUAUGUAUAAGGUUGGGUUGUAAAUCAUGUUAAGCACUAGACAUUAAGUUUGAAUAAUUGAUGUCCAUGAAGGUGGAUGUGAUGAUUUCUUGGUUAAUGAUACUAGUUUUAUGGAAGUAAUCUAAUAGGAUUGAAUGGUAUAUGCAAGAGCCUAAGUUUAUUUGAUUCGUAGU